GCCCGGGUGGCGGAAUGGCAGACGCUGGGGACUUAAAAUCCCUUGCCCCGAUCGGGGCGUGUGGGUUCGACUCCCACCCCGGGCA
RNAcentral lists this transfer RNA (85 nucleotides) under Acidobacteriota bacterium. Its description in RNAcentral is "Acidobacteria bacterium tRNA-Leu". It matches the Rfam family "tRNA". Rfam says of the family: Transfer RNA (tRNA) molecules are approximately 80 nucleotides in length. Their secondary structure includes four short double-helical elements and three loops (D, anti-codon, and T loops). Lineage: Bacteria; Pseudomonadati; Acidobacteriota. The record is from RNAcentral. RNAcentral also lists the same sequence under 1 other name.